GAUGAACGCUGGCGGCGUGCCUAAUACAUGCAAGUCGAGCGAACAGACGAGGAGCUUGCUCCUCUGACGUUAGCGGCGGACGGGUGAGUAACACGUGGAUAACCUACCUAUAAGACUGGGAUAACUUCGGGAAACCGGAGCUAAUACCGGAUAAUAUAUUGAACCGCAUGGUUCAAUAGUGAAAGACGGUUUUGCUGUCACUUAUAGAUGGAUCCGCGCCGCAUUAGCUAGUUGGUAAGGUAACGGCUUACCAAGGCAACGAUGCGUAGCCGACCUGAGAGGGUGAUCGGCCACACUGGACCUGAGACACGGUCCAGACUCCUACGGGAGGCAGCAGUAGGGAAUCUUCCGCAAUGGGCGAAAGCCUGACGGAGCAACGCCGCGGGAGUGAUGAAGGUCUUCGGAUCGUAAAACUCUGUUAUUAGGGAAGAACAAAUGUGUAAGUAACUAUGCACGUCUUGACGGUACCUAAUCAGAAAACCACGGCUAACUACGU
This 496-nucleotide ribosomal RNA is filed under the name uncultured bacterium. RNAcentral describes it as "partial 16S ribosomal RNA". It matches the Rfam family "Bacterial small subunit ribosomal RNA", at positions 28 to 506 of the family's 1533-position model. The record is from RNAcentral.